GUUAGGAAUAUUGGACAAUGGGCGCAAGCCUGAUCCAGCCAUGCCGCGUGAGUGAUGAAGGCCUUCGGGUUGUAAAGCUCUUUAGCCGAUGAUUAUAAUGACUGUAGUCGGAAAAUAAGCCCCGGCUAACUUCGUGCCAGCAGCCGCGGUAAUACGAAGGGGGCGAGCGUUAUUCGGAAUCACUGGGCGUAAAGCGUGCGUAGGCGGCUUUGCAAGUUGGGAGUGGAAGCCCAGGGCUCAACCCUGGAAUUGCUCUCAAAACUGCAAGGCUCGAAUUCGGGAGAGGAUAGCGGAAUUGGCAGUGUAGCAGUGAAAUGCGUAGAUAUUGACAGGAACACCAGUGGCGUAAGCGGCUAUCUGGACCGAUAUUGACGCUGAGGCACGAAAGCGUGGGGAUCAAACAGGAUUAGAUACCCUGGUAGUCC
RNAcentral lists this ribosomal RNA (425 nucleotides) under uncultured bacterium. RNAcentral's name for it is "partial 16S ribosomal RNA". It matches the Rfam family "Bacterial small subunit ribosomal RNA", at positions 354 to 796 of the family's 1533-position model. The record is from RNAcentral.